This 351-nucleotide ribosomal RNA is filed under the name Symbiodinium kawagutii. RNAcentral describes it as "partial Eukaryotic large subunit ribosomal RNA". It matches the Rfam family "Eukaryotic large subunit ribosomal RNA", at positions 23 to 371 of the family's 3401-position model. Lineage: Eukaryota; Dinophyceae; Suessiales; Symbiodiniaceae. The record is from RNAcentral.
AAACCUGCUGAAUUUAAGCAUAUAAGUAAGUGGUGGAAAUUAAACCAAAUGGGAUUUCUUUAGUAAUUGCGAAUGAACAAGGAUAUGCUUAGCUUGACAAAUGGAGCUUUUGGCUUUGAGUUGUAUUGUGGAAAUGUACCACCAACAGAGGUGCAAGUGUCAGCCAUUUGAAAGAAAGCGUCAAUGAGGGUGAGAAUCCUGUUUGUCAUGUGCAGCCCUCUGUGCACGGUGUAUAUUUGCUGAGUCACACUCCUUGGCAUUGGAAUGCAAAGUGGGUGGUAAGUUUCAUACAAAGGUAAAUAUGCAAUUGAGACUGAUAGCACACAAGUACCAUGAGGGAAAUAUGAAAAA